This 924-nucleotide long non-coding RNA is filed under the name Homo sapiens (human). RNAcentral's name for it is "HSALNT0372904". The record is from RNAcentral. Lineage: Eukaryota; Metazoa; Chordata; Mammalia; Primates; Hominidae.
AUUCAAGGGGUACAUGUGCAGGUUUGCUACAUGGGCAUAUUGUGUGAUGGUUUAGAGUACAAUGGAUCCCGUCACCCAAAUAACCGAGUCCUGCAAACGUAGAAGGUCUCAAGAAAACCACUUCAUCAAUACUCACACAGGAGCAGAUCCUAUCGUCUACAGCCACAGCUUCCCAGCAUUGGUGGAAAAGGUCAGCUUGCAAUCAGUCAGCCCGUGCAUACUGGAAAAUUGGAAUAAAAAACAACUAAGAUUCAGGAGAGGGUCAUGGAGGAAAGAAAAUGAGCACCAUGGAACAGUUGCCUGAGAAGACAGGCUCAGGUUAGUGUCUCUGCAGGGAGCACUAAUUGGGUAGGCAGAAAUCAGAAUAGGUGUGUUAGGGGCAUGUGGUAGGCAACAGGGUCAGGACUAGGGUAAGGUGAAUGAGGUAUCUGAUGGGAUUCACUCUCAGGGCUGUGCUAGAAAAAGUGUUACCUUCAAUUUUGCACCCCUGGCAUGUCACUCACUUCACCCUAGUCCUGGCUUUGGUAGAUGCUUCUGAAAUGGCUCCCAAAGAGCCCACCUUCUGUAUUCAUACCUUUGACCAUGUACCUUUGUGUGGGACUGGACCUUGUGACUUGUUUCUAUUGAAUCGAACUUAGUGAAGGUGAUAGGUUAAGUUAUAAAAGAUCGUGACUUCCACCUUACACGCACUCUCUGUGUGGUUUUCCAAUUCUGAUGAAGCAAGUUGCACUGGUGAGAUGCCCUGUUGAGUGGCCUAUGUGGCAGGGCCUAUGAGAGCAGCCUCCAGCCAACAGCCAGUAAGGAACUGAGGCCCUGAGUCCACCAGGCCCCAGGGAACUGAAUUCUGCCAACAGUUACCUGAGUGAGCUUGGAAGUGGAGCCUUCCCUGGUUGAAUCUUCAGAUGAGAUCACAGCCUCAGUAGA